This 482-nucleotide ribosomal RNA is filed under the name uncultured bacterium. RNAcentral describes it as "bacterial SSU rRNA". It matches the Rfam family "Bacterial small subunit ribosomal RNA", at positions 34 to 524 of the family's 1533-position model. The record is from RNAcentral.
CGCUACGGCAGCCUAAUCAUGCAAGUCGGACGGUCUCUAGCAAUAGAGAUAGUGGCGCACGGGUGCGUAACGCGUAACCAACCUGCCCUGAACUGGGGGAUAGCCCGCCGAAAGGCGGAUUAAUACCGCAUAAAACAGUAGUGUGGCAUCACACAAUUGUUAAAGAUUUAUUGGUUCAGGAUGGGGUUGCGUGCCAUUAGCUAGUUGGCGGGGUAACGGCCCACCAAGGCGACGAUGGCUAGGGGAGCUGAGAGGCUGGUCCCCCACACGGGCACUGAGAUACGGGCCCGACUCCUACGGGAGGCAGCAGUAGGGAAUAUUGGGCAAUGGAAGAGAUUCUGACCCAGCCAUGCCGCGUGCAGGAUGAAGGCUUUCUGAGUCGUAAACUGCUUUUGCCAGGGAAGAAAAAAGGGGAUGCGUCCUCUACUGACGGUACCUGGUGAAUAAGCACCGGCUAACUCCGUGCCAGCAGCCGCGGUAAU